AUACUUACCUGACAGGGAAGAUGCCACAAUCGAGAUGAUUUUCCUAGAGUGAGGUUUAUCCAUUGCACUCCAGAUGUGCUGCCCUUGAGAUUCCCCCCUGAUAUAGGAAACUUCACAGCAUAAUUUGUGGUAGUCAGGAACUACAUUUUCUUA
RNAcentral lists this small nuclear RNA (153 nucleotides) under Nannospalax galili (Upper Galilee mountains blind mole rat). RNAcentral describes it as "U1 spliceosomal RNA (ENSNGAG00000003208.1)". It matches the Rfam family "U1 spliceosomal RNA". From Rfam's summary of the family: U1 is a small nuclear RNA (snRNA) component of the spliceosome (involved in pre-mRNA splicing). Its 5' end forms complementary base pairs with the 5' splice junction, thus defining the 5' donor site of an intron. Lineage: Eukaryota; Metazoa; Chordata; Mammalia; Rodentia; Spalacidae. The record is from RNAcentral.